CUGGGAGGGAGAUGGGUGAGGGAUAUGUUAAAUUAUCUUCAAACUGAAUUGUAAUUCCAAUACCUGAAUCUGGGUUUAAUCCAGAAAACCCAGACAGACCUGGAGUUUCUUCUAUGUGGGUACAUCUUGAGGGACAGAGCCUAUGGCCUGCUCCCUCCCUGUCUCCUCGCCUGUAAUUAGGUUGCUUCUCAGUGCCUGGCAUAUAAAGGGCUGGUACCGCAGAGGAGACAGAGGAGUGAGAAAACUGAUAAGCCAAUUUGCAGAUGACCCUUGUAGGAUGCAGGAGUUUGCAUCUCCGUGUCUGUGUCUGUACAUGCAAAGUGAAGGAUCAUGGAGGCAUCAUCAAAAGUCAUUGUGCACACAACUUUCUGCAGAUGCCAUCACCUGCCUGGGAUGCUGGAACCACAGACGCCAUCUUGGACUGUUGGGGAGCAGUUUGUUUAGGAGGAAAUGCCAGCACCCGAGGAUGGCAGAGCAGAAGUGAUGGAGACCUCACCGACUGCCUGAAUUAACCAAUCCUGGAAUUACACGCUGCUCUGGGCUUCUUGUUGCUUAUAAUGGACUGGUAAUUUGCAUGGAGCUACUCGGAGGAUUAACCGUGAUUACCCAGAGAAAGGACACCUUGCCUGGGCCGUUUCAAGUACUCCACACAUGUUCCUUGAUAUUAUUGAUCUCAUUCUUGCAACAUCAGCAUCUGUCCUGGUGGGUGCUCAAGUAAA
Molecule: long non-coding RNA, 719 nt
Filed under: Homo sapiens (human)
Lineage: Eukaryota; Metazoa; Chordata; Mammalia; Primates; Hominidae
Description: HSALNT0309014
Source: RNAcentral